This 253-nucleotide ribosomal RNA is filed under the name uncultured bacterium. RNAcentral describes it as "partial 16S ribosomal RNA". It matches the Rfam family "Bacterial small subunit ribosomal RNA", at positions 524 to 776 of the family's 1533-position model. The record is from RNAcentral.
UACGUAGGGUGCGAGCGUUAAUCGGAAUUACUGGGCGUAAAGCGUGCGCAGGCGGUUUUGUAAGCCCGAUGUGAAAGCCCCGGGCUUAACCUGGGAAUGGCAUUUGGGACUGCAAGGCUAGAGUGCGGCAGAGGGGACUGGAAUUCCUGGUGUAGCAGUGAAAUGCGUAGAUAUCAGGAGGAAUACCGAUGGCGAAGGCAGGUCUCUGGGCUGACACUGACGCUCAUGCACGAAAGCGUGGGGAGCAAACAGG